UGACAUGCCACAUUUGUUCUUCAAGGUGUC
Molecule: non-coding RNA, 30 nt
Filed under: Rattus norvegicus (Norway rat)
Lineage: Eukaryota; Metazoa; Chordata; Mammalia; Rodentia; Muridae
Source: RNAcentral